RNAcentral lists this long non-coding RNA (307 nucleotides) under Oryza sativa Indica Group (long-grained rice). RNAcentral describes it as "lncRNA OsZS97_09G002630". Lineage: Eukaryota; Viridiplantae; Streptophyta; Magnoliopsida; Poales; Poaceae. The record is from RNAcentral.
GCGUGAAGUGAUGGCAGUGACGGGAUUUGAAUCGGCAAAGUGGCGAUGGCCGGCGCAUGUGAGAGAGAGAGGGGGAGGGUAUUCCCCAAAAAAAGAGAGAGGGGGGGAGGAAGAGAACACGCAGUGGAGAAAGAAAGGGGGAGAGGAGCACGUCUCCUCGGUGGGGGCACGUGCGGCGCACGUGGAGAGGGAGGGAGGAUGUGUCAGAGGAAGCAGGGCUAUUCAAACCACCAUAGCAGUUAGGGAGGAAAACGUUUUGGUGUGUGACAAAGAUCGGCAUUCUAACAGUAAGAUGGUAAUGAAUUAA